RNAcentral lists this long non-coding RNA (1614 nucleotides) under Homo sapiens (human). Its description in RNAcentral is "HSALNT0064840". The record is from RNAcentral. Lineage: Eukaryota; Metazoa; Chordata; Mammalia; Primates; Hominidae.
CAAACUGAAUUUAUGCAAAUCCGUGUUUGUGGUUUGGCUGUGGUCAGCCUCAGGAAACAGAAAUGCUGUAUAACUGCCACAUAGAAUAUAGUUUAAACCUGAGGUUUUACGGAGCGACGCAACAUGCACGGUGCCAUCUCCAGUGAUGCUUAACGGUGCAUCCGGGAUAUGAAAAGAUGACACUGCAAAUUCCCACAAACAUCAUGCAGAAUUCACGGAUUUGCUCACAACAUCAACACCAAAUAAAUCUUUCAAAAAAAGGAAGGACUACUCUUUCUGCCAACAGCAAACACCAAAGCCAACUCAUAUUCAUAAUUACUCAUCUUUUGAAACAUGUUUUGACAUGAAUAACUCAGCAAAGCUGAGUCACUGCCAAACAGUACCAACUUGUGCAAUGGCACUGGAAGAAAUGUGAUAACUACAGAGGCAAACAGCGACUCUGAGAAAAUUGAAUCCACCCUCAUUUGAUCCAGGACUGGAAUGGUUGUUGGUGGAAGAUGGUGCAGAGUCUAAGAGAAUUGACGUAUUAUCUUGGAUCCCAGUGGCAAGGGAACACUUCUGUCCUACAAUAAUCUCUCCCAUCCCCAACAGGAAAAAGAUGGGGAUGAAACCUUGUUACAGCAAUCUCAAACACAGGUGUACUUAUCAUUGGCUUUUCCAGCGACUCCUCUUCCUUCUCACUGGCAGCCAGCACACCUGGCAUCCCGCACCUGCCACUGACUUCCUUUUAACAACUGAUCUGGACAUCAUGAUUUUAUGACCUUGCAAACUAAAACGCGAUCUCUUUACUGUAAUAAAGAAGAAAGAAAAAACCAGCUGCUUCUAUAGGCAUUCUGUAUCCUCACUUAAUUUUCCCUCGAUGUUUAUACCUUCUCUAGACCAGCAUAUUUUUUUGGAAACUCUGACACAUGCUUGAGAAAAAUUUGCCUAUGAAAUUUUGUUUCUGACAAGAAUCAACCCAAAGUUUGUGCUUCGGCCAUAAAAUUCAUGCAGAAAGUUAUUUAUUUUUAAGCUACAUGUAUGUGACUGAAUGGCUUAUAAUCAGCAUUUCUAUUAUGGCUCAAAUGACUUUUGAGGGUUAUUAUUAUUAUUAUUUAGAUUUUAUAUGGAUCUACACACAGUCAUGACAUCUUAGAAUAAAUCUUUCCUGUUCCUGAGAGUGAAAACACUUCCUGGAGGUAUAACUCAUUACUCUCACCCCUAGAUUCCAUGGCCUUGACAACUGCAGGCAUCCUAAGUUAACAUCACAAUUCUUGUCAUUUCUCGAUCAGUCUCCUUAUGGCUUCUUUUGCUCAUCCUUUUUCUCCAAUGGCUUAUAUAUUCACUAUAACAACAUUAUAGAUAAGAUGUGACAAUUUCUAGAGGGUAGGCGUGCCUACCAUAUUCUUCAUGAAUAUCCUUCAUGAAUAAAGAAUUCUAUACUCUUCUGAGCUACAAGAUAUGUAGGAACAAGAAAGAUCUGGGGCCACAGACAGGUGGUUCAUCCACUGGACAUGUGACAAUCAGUUAAGAAAUUAAAACAGCAGAGUUGGCCAGGAGCGGUGGCUCACACCUGUAAUCCCAGCACUUUGGGAGGCUGAGGUCAGGAGUUCAAGACCACCCUGGCCAACAUGG